This is an RNA transcript of Papaver somniferum (opium poppy), 1430 nucleotides long. RefSeq lists it as uncharacterized. NCBI's taxonomy places the organism in Eukaryota, Viridiplantae, Streptophyta, Magnoliopsida, Ranunculales, Papaveraceae. The transcript is spliced from 3 exons. The record is from RefSeq and is a predicted model, not a curated record.
AUAUCUUAGAUGACUACGCUUGGUAAAAAAAAUAAAAAAAAUAUACGCGUGCCAAAAAUAUACUAGAAAAUAUCGAAACUUUUAAUAUAAUUUCCAAAAGAGAAGGUCUUUUAUUUUUGGGUUUGGAAGAUCUAUAUAAAUCAUCCGAGCAAAAGCCAAAUCCUGUGUUUUCUGUUGCUUCUCUUUCAUAGAAUUUUACUAUUUUUCUUUCUAUUGCGACGUUUGAAUCUGACCACGCCUAUUUUUUUGUUUUGAUUUGCAGAGAUAACUGAAAUUAUAAUCGAUUAACACGACGUCUGUUAUUGGUGUUGCUGCUUCAUUUGCUCUAACUGUACAUGUAUUGUGGAUGAUGCGGCUGCUGCACCUUUCCUAGCUGGCGUCAAGCAAUAUCAAGGGAUAACUUCAGUUGGGCAUGGCAUCGUGCCAACAAGGUUCAUCUUUCUCAAAACCAGAACAUUGUAUCUGAUCAGCAGCGGAUGCAAAAGCAUUUUUACCCUCAACACAACCAGCUAAUCCUUUAAAGACACUUGGUCAAAUGCCAGUUCAAAUUUGAUGUGCCAUACUUCUUACCACCAGCCCUAUAUUUACCACCUUCACAGUAGUUACAUUUCCCCCAUUUAAUACCAGCUUCAUCAACACUCUUUUGGAAAUGCUCCCACACCGAAGAUGUUCUGUUCCGCUUCAUACUUUCCCUGACCUCAGGUUGAGAAGAUGGUGGAGGUGGAGGUGGCGGAGAUAUAACAACCCUGACCCUUUGUUGCACGGAUUUAGAUGCAUCUUGAGAGGGAAUAGGAGGUCUCGUUGACAUCAAUUCUGUAAUCUCAACCAUGCUUCCUCACUAGAAAGAACAAGUGAUAUGAAUAGAAAGCAAAAAAAGUUAACAGGCUUCAAAGGGUCCUAAUAACAACACUGAAAUCUAGAGAACAACACUGAAAUCUAGAAUUAGACAGUAGUUAUAUCCGUCUGUUGGUUAAGAUACCCUUGGAGAAUUAGAGGGUUCUAUUGGUAUCGAUGAUAGUGCUAUUCUGCGUUGUAUUGACUUGGAAUAAGGAAUUUGAGACUCAUGUAUAGAUAUUUAUUGGGAAAGUGGCAUUCGAGAUAUUCUGCAGACAUACAAGCAUUGUGGAGACAAGUUAUUUGCGAGAAAACAUAUAUACUGGACUCCAGUGUCAACUGUCUAUUUAAAUUACAAAACAAAUCUCUCCUUUUCUCACCCACCUAGCAAAGGUCUUAAAUGUACUCACUCACCUGACAUGAUGCUAAUGUUCAAUCAAACCAAUGAUUUUCAUUAAUACUACUAUUACUGUGAGCAGAAUCUAAAGCUAAUUCAAUUGCUUUAGAUAAACCUUUAAAGACAUGGGUGUCACAUAAUCAAAAUCUCACUGAAAUUGUUUGAAAUAUUGCUAAUCUAAACAUUUAAAGACAUGGGU